AGAACGAACGCUGGCGGCAGGCUUAACACAUGCAAGUCGAGCGCCCCGCAAGGGGAGCGGCAGACGGGUGAGUAACGCGUGGGAACAUACCUUUCGGUUCGGAAUAGACCCGGGAAACUGGGAUUAAUACCGGAUACGUCCUUCGGAGAAGAUUAUCGCCGAAGAUUGGCCGCGUCUGAUUAGCUAGUUGGCGGUGUAAUGGACCACCAAGGCGACGAUCAGUAGCU
RNAcentral lists this ribosomal RNA (227 nucleotides) under uncultured bacterium. RNAcentral describes it as "partial small subunit ribosomal RNA". It matches the Rfam family "Bacterial small subunit ribosomal RNA", at positions 26 to 288 of the family's 1533-position model. The record is from RNAcentral.